AAGGCUGACAGCAAAAGUCUCCUAAAAGCCUGGCAGCACAGAAUGCCUGCCAGAUGCGGAACCAGGCCUGGCAACCUGCAGCAUCCUUAAGGAUGGGACUUAAGGAAGCUCCUUCAGGAAGGACCUCAAGAGGUCCCUUCCUUCCCAUCCCUUCCGUGAGCCUCCUUCUGAGUCAAAAACAGGCCCUUCUUGUACUACGGACACAGAAGAUGGCGUAGGACGCCACCACUUCACAUAACCUAUGAGGCGCUGCUCAUUUCCAUCGUCUUUCUGAAACAGCCAUGAGCUACCUGCUUGCUGUGAUCUUCAGAAGAGCAAUCCCAAGCUUCUUUACCUCUCUGGAUGGCUUGCUAACUCCAGUCCUGGAAGAUGGAUCCAGUCCCAGCAGGGGCACAAAGCAGCAUUGGUGUGGUGCUUCUUGUUUCUCUUCCUCUCUGUUACUGGAAGAAGCAUCUUGAAUGCAGUCCCACAGCUCUCUGAAAUUCCUCAUGCAAAAACUAUGGGGAAGUUCAUCUUGGUUGUGCAGAAAUACUGUACAUGUGAUCCUUUAUGGUUAACCAAGGAAGGGGACGUGGGCACUCCCAAAUAUAGAAUUACAAAGAAACAGGACAGGACGGGACGGGACAGAAUGGGACAGGAUAGGAUAGUUGGACGGGACUUAGAAAGAUCAUUGAGUCCAACUGCCUGACCAAGAGACACAGCUGUUGUUCCAUGACAACUUUUUUUCCCUUUGUGUGGGCUGUUUUUCAUUUGUUGUCUGCUGCCAACUCAGAGCAGGUUUCUGUGGGUUUGUUAUUGAACAAGGUUGUUGUGGUGUGCCAUGUGCAUGCUUCUGUGUCUUUCCUCUGAAGUUCACAUAACUUUUAUUAAAACCUUGUUCAUCAGAAUUAACUAGGGUUUUAUAAACAGCCUACUUUUAUAAGAAAACUAACUUUAUACUUAUUUUCAUAGUCUCUAAAAACAUUGCUCAGUAAUACAGAAUUUCUCCUUCACCAGUCUUUUGAAAGAGCAAUAGAAUUAAUGCUCUUUCUGUGUCCAUUGAGAGAGGCAGACACUCCUAAUUAAUUACACUUUUUAGCCACUUGUGCACAAUUAUUUUGAAGUUUUUCAGUAACAUUAUUUAUUGAAUACUUUGAUUAUUAGCUUAGCUCACAGAAGAGAAAAUUUAAAGUUCUUUCUAAAAGUCUUGCAGUUGCUACGCUUCUGCUAUGUGUGGGAGAAUUUCAAUUCAGUUAUUUAAUAAGUAAACUAAUUGCUCUAGAUGAAAUAAAUGGAACAUUUAUGACUUGUCAGAUAGAAUGAAAGCAAAGGAAAUCAAGCCCUUUUUAUAGUCAUGAUUUCAGCUAUUACUACAGGUUUCAUUGAUACUAAGAACACUCUUAGAGUAAGCUUGGCCUAAGCAACUUUAUCAGUUAUGCUGUGAAUCAAGAGCAGAUCUACAGAGAAAGCUGGAGAAACACUGGAAUUUUGCUGCUUGAGUGGAAUAGCUGUAAAAGACAAAUAACAAGUUACAUAAAACACAAUACCCCGUUUCAGCUAUCUGAAUUGACAAAGAUCUUCUACAGAGCCACUUGCUAAAACUUUUUGUACUUGGCACUCAAAGAUGCCCAUUUUCUGCUGGUGCUGGGCAGUGACUACUGCCAUGAAUUUUAAAGAGAUUGGUCAAUAUCAGUUUUUUCAAUGAUCUGCUUUAGGAGACAGGGACUGAGAACUAGCUCUCUGAGAGCAAGAGACCAUGCUGCAGUGCAGCCCCCUGAAGGAAAGGGCAGAAGAUCCAGGCAAGGCUUCUCCAAGACAUUUCUUACUUGGCUCUUCCUUGCAGCUGAGCUGUUUUCCCAGAAGCCUGAGUGGCUGAGAUGUGGACACCAGCUCCAACUCCAAGCAAGGACAGCUGUUGGCAUGGGAGAAACUGCAGAAUUGCUGGAAUGUAGCAUUUCCAUCAAAUGGGACAUUUACUGGCAUGGACAGAUCAUAGCAUAAAAAUGUGGAGGGAAUAUAUAAAACAUAGCAUAACAUUUCUUAAGAACGACUGGGAAGUAUUUCUGCCAACUGGCAACUAAACUUGACUUUAAUUCUCUUUCACAUUGUGUUCUGAGACUAAUGAUGAAGAGACAUCAACAAUUAAGGUCAUUUGUAUGUGGUGUUAGCAUUACUGGUUCCAUAGCAUACAAAAACUGUUUGCAAACAUGAUAUAACUCUUGCAGUUGUAUUUUUUGGAGUGACAUACAGUAAAAGGGACAUCAUUAGCAACUACCAUUGAAUUUAGCUCAGUUAAACUGUUUGCAAAAUGAAAUUUCACUCUGCAAGUCGCAAGACUGAAAACUGUCUUCUCUGCUGUCUGUGACAUUUCACCUUCUCCAGCCCAACCCUUGGCAUUGGCAUGGCCCUUCCUAAUUCAGUAUCUUGCUCUUGAAGCCUGUGGCACAUUUAUGUCACCUUUGGCUCUCCAAGAACUGAGAAGGAAGGUGAAGAGCAGAUCAGAGGGUGUCAUUUCACAAAUUCAGUGCUAAUUCAUGCUGGUUGAGGCACUGAAGCAUUCUUGAUCUCCCAGUCACGAACAUUCAUGAGGUAAUCUCUGCAUGAAAGAGCUGCACAACAUCUUUUGGAUCCCAGUCAUGCUGUAAAAGGUUGCAUACCUUUUUAAACUUUUUUUAAUGCUUAGAGAUCAAGAGACAGAAACUGAUUAUCUAACCUUCUCUAGAGUGCUCAUGUAUCUAGAAAUUGCAGACUUUCAUUGGAGCUAUGUUGUAUUCAGCAAGCAAUGAACUUCUACAAAAA
This is a long non-coding RNA of Anas platyrhynchos (mallard), 2778 nucleotides long. RefSeq lists it as uncharacterized. NCBI's taxonomy places the organism in Eukaryota, Metazoa, Chordata, Aves, Anseriformes, Anatidae. The record is from RefSeq and is a predicted model, not a curated record.